Molecule: transfer RNA, 73 nt
Filed under: Mollicutes bacterium
Lineage: Bacteria; Bacillati; Mycoplasmatota; Mollicutes
Also listed under: 1 other name
Description: tRNA-Met
Rfam family: tRNA
About the family: Transfer RNA (tRNA) molecules are approximately 80 nucleotides in length. Their secondary structure includes four short double-helical elements and three loops (D, anti-codon, and T loops).
Source: RNAcentral
AGCAGAGUAGCAUAACGGUAAAUGCAUUCGAAUCAUAAUCGAAUAGAUGAAGUUUCGAUUACUUCCUCUGCUA